This 318-nucleotide transfer-messenger RNA is filed under the name Holosporaceae bacterium. It matches the Rfam family "Alphaproteobacteria transfer-messenger RNA". Rfam says of the family: Bacterial tmRNA, also known as 10Sa RNA or SsrA, is named for its dual tRNA and mRNA-like properties. Its role is to liberate the mRNA from a stalled ribosome. Lineage: Bacteria; Pseudomonadati; Pseudomonadota; Alphaproteobacteria; Holosporales; Holosporaceae. The record is from RNAcentral.
UUAAGUGUUUUUUAAUAUUUUGUAUUGUAUAAUAUAGUCGUUGUUUUAGCAACUAUGGUGAUAAACAUUGUGAUUAAUAGGCGCUGCGGACUCGGGGGCAGAGCCCGACAUCUCCACCAUUUUGAGGGGAUGAAUAGAUUCGACGCACGUUGAAAAGCAUGAUUUUCACUCGGUAUGGUUUCCGUUAUAGAACCGAAAAUAUAAAUGCGAACGAUAAUUUUGUCGCAUGCAACGAUAACUUUGAAAAUGAGGCCAUUGCCAAGUUUGCCUAGUUAGAGUAGACGCGGUCUGGGGAGCCGGGCAACAGAAAUCCCCAUU